RNAcentral lists this transfer RNA (70 nucleotides) under Loxodonta africana (African savanna elephant). It matches the Rfam family "tRNA". Rfam says of the family: Transfer RNA (tRNA) molecules are approximately 80 nucleotides in length. Their secondary structure includes four short double-helical elements and three loops (D, anti-codon, and T loops). Further hydrogen bonds mediate the characteristic L-shaped molecular structure. tRNAs have two regions of fundamental functional importance: the anti-codon, which is responsible for specific mRNA codon recognition, and the 3' end, to which the tRNAs corresponding amino acid is attached (by aminoacyl-tRNA synthetases). tRNAs cope with the degeneracy of the genetic code in two manners: having more than one tRNA (with a specific anti-codon) for a particular amino acid; and 'wobble' base-pairing, i.e. permitting non-standard base-pairing at the 3rd anti-codon position. Lineage: Eukaryota; Metazoa; Chordata; Mammalia; Proboscidea; Elephantidae. The record is from Rfam by way of RNAcentral.
GCAUUGGUGGUUCAGUCAGAGAAUUCUCGCCUUCCACGUGGUGACCCAGGUUUGAUUCCCAGCCAAUGCG